Molecule: ribosomal RNA, 380 nt
Filed under: uncultured eukaryote
Lineage: Eukaryota
Description: partial 18S ribosomal RNA
Rfam family: Eukaryotic small subunit ribosomal RNA
Source: RNAcentral
CAAUAGCGUAUAUUAAAGUUGUUGCAGUUAGAACGCUCGUAGUCGGAUUUCGGGGCGGGCCGACCGGUCUGCCGAUGGGUACGCACUGGUCGGCGCGUCCUUCCUUCCGGAGACCGUGCCUACUCUUAACUGAGCGGGGGCGGGAGACGGAUCGUUUACUUUGAAAAAAUCAGAGUGUUUCAAGCAGGCAGCUCGCUCUUGCAUGGAUUAGCAUGGGAUAAUGAAAUAGGACUUUGGUGCUAUUUUGUUGGUUUCGAACACCGAAGUAAUGAUUAAAAGGGACAGUCAGGGGCACUCGUAUUCCGCCGAGAGAGGUGAAAUUCUCAGACCAGCGGAAGACGAACCACUGCGAAAGCAUUUGCCAGGGAUGUUUNCACUGA